GUUGACCUCGGAUCAGGUAGGGAUACCCGCUGAACUU
Molecule: ribosomal RNA, 37 nt
Filed under: Aspergillus wentii
Lineage: Eukaryota; Fungi; Ascomycota; Eurotiomycetes; Eurotiales; Aspergillaceae
Also listed under: 62 other names
Description: partial 28S ribosomal RNA
Source: RNAcentral